RNAcentral lists this ribosomal RNA (252 nucleotides) under uncultured bacterium. Its description in RNAcentral is "partial 16S ribosomal RNA". It matches the Rfam family "Bacterial small subunit ribosomal RNA", at positions 524 to 776 of the family's 1533-position model. The record is from RNAcentral.
UACGUAGGUCCCGAGCGUUGUCCGGAUUUAUUGGGCGUAAAGCGAGCGCAGGUGGUUUAUUAAGUCUGGUGUAAAAGGCAGUGGCUCAACCAUUGUAUGCAUUGGAAACUGGUAGACUUGAGUGCAGGAGAGGAGAGUGGAAUUCCAUGUGUAGCGGUGAAAUGCGUAGAUAUAUGGAGGAACACCGGUGGCGAAAGCGGCUCUCUGGCCUGUAAUUGACAUUGAGGCUCGAAAGCGUGGGGAGCAAACAGG